GUGCCUACGGGACGCAGCAGUAGGGAAUCUUCCACAAUGGGCGAAAGCCUGAUGGAGCAACGCCGCGUGGGUGAAGAAGGUCUUCGGAUCGUAAAACCCUGUUGUUAGAGAAGAAAGUGCGUGAAAGUAACUGUUCACGUUUCGACGGUAUCUAACCAGAAAGCCACGGCCAACUACGUGCCAGCAGCCGCGGUGAUACGUAGGUGGCAAGCGUUAUCCGGAUUUAUUGGGCGUAAAGGGAACGCAGGCGGUCUCUUAAGUCUGAUGUGAAGGCCUUCGGCUUAACCGGAGUAGUGCAUUGGAAA
This 305-nucleotide ribosomal RNA is filed under the name uncultured bacterium. RNAcentral's name for it is "bacterial SSU rRNA". It matches the Rfam family "Bacterial small subunit ribosomal RNA", at positions 335 to 632 of the family's 1533-position model. The record is from RNAcentral.